CGUUGAAACACCGAUUGCCGUACGAUCACCGAAGUUAAGCAACUUCAAGCCUGCCGCGUACUUAGAUGGGUGACCACUUGGGAAUACCAGGUGCUGUAAG
This is a non-coding RNA of Acanthosepion pharaonis, 100 nucleotides long. The record is from the annotation of a GenBank genome assembly. Lineage: Eukaryota; Metazoa; Mollusca; Cephalopoda; Sepiida; Sepiidae.